CUUCCUUGUUGAGAGACCUGCAAGAAGAUAAAUGUCACGUUAAGGAAACAGACACUUUACUGGUUUAAGGAUCAAUACACUCUGAAAUUGACUACUUCUUCAACAACUUCAAGCCCAUAUGUGCAGAUAUUUAGUGUUGUUGUAGCUUCUUGGCUCUAAUUCUUCUGAUGGCAUGAGUUGUGUUUCAGCUGAGACCUGCUGAUGGCGGCGUGUUGUGAACAUUUGGAGGUACCUGAGCUUUUUCAGCAGCUGAGCUCUUGGAAACGCAGGCGUCCUCCUCGGACGCCUCGGGCCCCUCCGCGAACACGUGUUUGGCAGUGCCGAGCUGCAUCACCCGACUCAGAUGGGGGGCGAUGGCCUGGACCAGCGAGUCCUUCUCCUCCUCACACCCUUGGCUGUCGUCCUCUUUGCCAGGGAAAGAGAGUUCGGAUCCUGCGGUCACGAUGACGAACGGCGUGUUGGAGUCGAACAUCCUGGUUUCCCCCAGCGAACAUGGUUUGUCAGAGAAGACGGGACAUGUAACCACAACGACGCGGCGUAUGAUGGAGCACAUGGUGUUUGUGUAAUUCCUUUAACCGCCUGAAGGGGGAGACGAGAGCAGGUUUAAACAUUUUGAGCCAAAAAAUGCCUCCUCAGAUAAAAUAAAAGCCCAUGUCAGAUCAGCUACAGCAGAAACAGAAAUAUCAUAAUCGGUGUUUUAAUGCGGUGGUAUUUGCCGCGGCCGGGCGUGAAUGAACAGACACCAGUAGUGAGGCUGGCAAAGGUGAGUAUUAAUAGCACGCAGAGGAGCAGCCGCAUGCUUUCCACUGAGGGCGGCCAGCUGUCCGAGUCUCUCUUCCUCGACACUCGCCAUGUUGACAGCCAAUACUGGAGGAUCAAAACACACACACACUCCCACACAUAAAGGCCGCCACUUGUCCUGAAGUCCUGGUACAGAGGCCGCGGGUGGAGGAGAUGACACAUGUGAGGCGGUCUGGUUGAUAACGUGAAGACGUGCAAAUCAACAGCUGUGCUUGAGUUGUGACAACAAAGAAAUAAACUCACUGGUACAAAAGUGACACCAGUGUUGUAAAAAGUACAAAUUAAAAAUAAAGAUAUUGUGCUAAAAUCACCCAAAUUAAAAGUAAGUUAAGUUAAUAAAUAGUAAAUUAUAGGCUGCAUACAUCAACUUAUAUGUAUUUACUCUAUACGAGAGUUCAGUUGCUAAUUGGC
This is a long non-coding RNA of Acanthopagrus latus (yellowfin seabream), 1212 nucleotides long. RefSeq lists it as uncharacterized. The record is from RefSeq and is a predicted model, not a curated record. The transcript has 3 exons. NCBI's taxonomy places the organism in Eukaryota, Metazoa, Chordata, Actinopteri, Spariformes, Sparidae.